This 403-nucleotide ribosomal RNA is filed under the name Verrucomicrobiota bacterium. Its description in RNAcentral is "Verrucomicrobia bacterium partial 16S ribosomal RNA". It matches the Rfam family "Bacterial small subunit ribosomal RNA", at positions 355 to 776 of the family's 1533-position model. The record is from RNAcentral. Lineage: Bacteria; Pseudomonadati; Verrucomicrobiota.
UGGGGAAUAUUGCACAAUGGGCGCAAGCCUGAUGCAGCAACGCCGCGUGAACGAUGAAGGUCUUCGGAUCGUAAAGUUCUGUUGCAGGGGAAGAUAAUGACGGUACCCUGUGAGGAAGCCCCGGCUAACUACUUGCCAGCAGCCGCGGUAAUACGUAGGGGGCUAGCGUUAUCCGGAUUUACUGGGCGUAAAGGGUGCGUAGGUGGUCUUUCAAGUCGGUGGUUAAAGGCUACGGCUAAACCGUAGUUAGCCUCCGAAACUGGAAGACUUGAGUGCAGGAGAGGAAAGUGGAAUUCCCAGUGUAGCGGUGAAAUGCGUAGAUAUUGGGAGGAACACCAGUAGCGAAGGCGGCUUUCUGGACUGAAACUGACACAGAGGCACGAAAGCGUGGGUAGCAAACAGG